This 638-nucleotide ribosomal RNA is filed under the name uncultured bacterium. RNAcentral's name for it is "bacterial SSU rRNA". It matches the Rfam family "Bacterial small subunit ribosomal RNA", at positions 83 to 719 of the family's 1533-position model. The record is from RNAcentral.
GAUGGGCGUCGACCGGCGCACGGGUGAGUAACGCGUAUCCAACCUGCCCACCACUUGGGGAUAACCUUGCGAAAGUAAGACUAAUACCCAAUGAUAUCUCUAGAAGACAUCUGAAAGAGAUUAAAGAUUUAUCGGUGAUGGAUGGGGAUGCGUCUGAUUAGCUUGUUGGCGGGGUAACGGCCCACCAAGGCAACGAUCAGUAGGGGCCCUGAGAGGAAGGUCCCCCACAUUGGAACUGAGACACGGUCCAAACUCCUACGGGAGGCAGCAGUGAGGAAUAUUGGUCAAUGGACGAGAGUCUGAACCAGCCAAGUAGCGUGCAGGAUGACGGCCCUAUGGGUUGUAAACUGCUUUUAUAAGGGAAUAAAGUGAGUCUCGUGAGACUUUUUGCAUGUACCUUAUGAAUAAGGACCGGCUAAUUCCGUGCCAGCAGCCGCGGUAAUACGGAAGGUCCGGGCGUUAUCCGGAUUUAUUGGGUUUAAAGGGAGCGUAGGCCGGAGAUUAAGCGUGUUGUGGAAUGUAGACGCUCAACGUCUGCACUGCAGCGCGAACUGGUUUCCUUGAGUACGCACAAAGUGGGCGGAAUUCGUGGUGUAGCGGUGAAAUGCUUAGAUAUCACGAAGAACUCCGAUUGCGAA